UGCCGGUGACAAACCGGAGGAAGGUGGGGAUGACGUCAAAUCAUCAUGCCCCUUAUGAUUUGGGCUACACACGUGCUACAAUGGACAAUACAAAGGGCAGCGAAACCGCGAGGUCAAGCAAAUCCCAUAAAGUUGUUCUCAGUUCGGAUUGUAGUCUGCAACUCGACUACAUGAAGCUGGAAUCGCUAGUAAUCGUAGAUCAGCAUGCUACGGUGAAUACGUUCCCGGGUCUUGUACACACCGCCCGUCACACCACGAGAGUUUGUAACACCCG
RNAcentral lists this ribosomal RNA (274 nucleotides) under Staphylococcus pseudintermedius. Its description in RNAcentral is "partial 16S ribosomal RNA". It matches the Rfam family "Bacterial small subunit ribosomal RNA", at positions 1150 to 1423 of the family's 1533-position model. Lineage: Bacteria; Bacillati; Bacillota; Bacilli; Caryophanales; Staphylococcaceae. The record is from RNAcentral.